CGGGAUUGUGGUUAGUUUCCUUUAUUGGAUGUUAGCCACGAGAACCUGUCUAAACCUUAUCAUUUAGAGGAAGGUGAAGUCGUAACAAGGUUUCCGUAGGUGAACCUGCGGAAGGAUCA
This 119-nucleotide ribosomal RNA is filed under the name Pseudo-nitzschia brasiliana. RNAcentral describes it as "partial 18S ribosomal RNA". It matches the Rfam family "Eukaryotic small subunit ribosomal RNA", at positions 1710 to 1828 of the family's 1831-position model. Lineage: Eukaryota; Bacillariophyta; Bacillariophyceae; Bacillariales; Bacillariaceae. The record is from RNAcentral.